ACUCAAAUGAAUUGACGGGGACCCGCACAAGCGGUGGAUGAUGUGGUUUAAUUCGAUGCAACGCGAAAAACCUUACCUACCCUUGACAUGCCUCGAACCUCGCAGAGAUGUGAGGGUGCCCGAAAGGGAGCGAGGACACAGGUGCUGCAUGGCUGUCGUCAGCUCGUGUCGUGAGAUGUUGGGUUAAGUCCCGCAACGAGCGCAACCCUUACCAUUAGUUGCUACGCAAGGGCACUCUAAUGGGACUGCCGGUGACAAACCGGAGGAAGGUGGGGAUGACGUCAAGUCCUCAUGGCCCUUAUGGGUAGGGCUACACACGUCAUACAAUGGCUGGUACAGAGGGUUGCCAACCCGCGAGGGGGAGCUAAUCCCAUAAAACCAGUCGUAGUCCGGAUCGCAGUCUGCAACUCGACUGCGUGAAGUCGGAAUCGCUAGUAAUCGCGGAUCAGCAUGUCGCGGUGAAUACGUUCCCGGGUCUUGUACACACCGCCCGU
This 494-nucleotide ribosomal RNA is filed under the name uncultured bacterium. RNAcentral's name for it is "partial 16S ribosomal RNA". It matches the Rfam family "Bacterial small subunit ribosomal RNA", at positions 899 to 1397 of the family's 1533-position model. The record is from RNAcentral.